UUGUUAUCCACCUCUUAGGAUUUUUAUGGAGAUAAUUUGAUCAUAGAUUUAGAGCUGGAAGGAACUUUAUAGGGCAUCUAGUUGAGCACCCCUUCACUUCUUCCCUUCCUUCCCUCCCUUCAUACUCCCUGUUUUAUAGAUGGGGAUGCUGAAGCCCAGGGAACUAUUUGAUUUGCCCAAGAUCACAUAGAUGUCAGAGGUAACAAUUGAACAUAGUUCUCUACUUCAAAUACAGCUGUUUUUCUACUUUGUCACACUGCCUUCCCAAGUUACAGUAUGUGAAAAUGCUCUUGUAACCAUGAGGCAUUAAAGAAAUGUCAGCUGUUAUUGCUAAUUGGAGAACAGAUAACAAUUCAGUCUACAAUUAUGAUGGUAAAUAGGGAGUAUGGAUAAGUACUAUAGAAGAGCAGUGAGGAGAGCAAUCCCAUAAGCCAGAAUUUCCAAGGAAGACUUUUAGGAGGAGAUCACACCAGCUAGAACUCGACUGACAGUACCUUAUUUAAUCAUCUGAAUGCUAUGAGUGUUAUUCUUUUUCCCAGACCUGAAUAAAGCUUGUGGGAAUGCAAUGGAUGCUCAUGAAGCUGCCCAGAUGCAUCAGAACUUCUCCCAGCAACUUCUCCAGGAUCACAUUGAAGCUUGUAGCCUUCCAGAACACAACCUUAUCACGUGGACAGACGGGCCACCCCCUGUACAGUUUCAGGCGCAGAAUGGACCCACCACCAGCCUUGCUAGUCUCCUGUGAAGGAAAACUCUGCUAAAGUGACACAUGCAACUUGGCCCCCUGGGAAGAGGAAAAUCUAUCAUGGGGACUUUUUCCAGGAAGGGAAAAUGAGGAAUUUCCUGUACAGCCAAAAGCCUUAAUCAAGAUUAAACACACCCUACAUUUCAAAGACUCAAAAAGGACAUUUUAAGCUGCUUUUAAAGAUGAGAGGUGUGUGUCCCAUACACACAACUUCUGGAUUUUUAACUGUAUUUGAUACUUCUGGUUUUCCUCAGUACAGUGUGGUGCAGGAUCCAGAACCCUGUUAGGGGAUAGUGGAGGAGAAUCUGUCUUUCCUCAUUUACCAGACAUCCACUAUGUGAAAUUCUCCAACCCAAUCUUGGUGUUGAUUUUUCCAAACCAUCACUUAGAAAUGGAUUCUGACCAGACUGCCAAUCACUGCUCUAAAUAUUUAAGUCCUACCUGAAAUGAAGUGCUUCUGGUUGGAGUGGGGCGGGGAGUAGGAAGAGUCUCCUACAAGGCUCCAAGUAGCAUGUAGUGUGGGAUUUAAUCAUGACUGUGUGCCUGGGGAUGGGUGUGGAGAGCUGGCAAACCUCAAAAUCCUUCUCUUAAGGAAGUCCCAUGUCUCGAUGCUAUUCUGUAGUAAAUCACCGAGUGUACCCAGAUUAAAUCAGUUCUUCUCUAGUGAAGGUGAAAAGUAAGGUUGGUUACUUUUUAACCUUUCAUCGCCUGAGUGAGUAGCUAUGUGUUAUGAGGCUGGGGCAGUGUCCUCCUCCCCCAUAACUCCUUAAUGCAUCACUUGGACAACUUUAAAGAAUAAAGCUUGAACGUCUCAGUGUAGCUUAACCCCAACAUCCAAAUUUGAGGCAGAUACCUGGAGAGAAUAAAUCACUUUGGAAACAAUGCACAUUUGUACAGAAAAUGGCUUUUUCAACAUACCUUUUGAAUAUCCCAUUAUUCAACAGGCUUUCAGUCCUGUACUACACUGAACUUUUUGUUCAGGCUCACUUAGAAGUCCAAGAAUGCCAGCUUCCAAGUGUAAGGCACCUUGAUCUACUACACUGUUCUGUUGUGUAUAUUAUUAUACAUAAAUAUAUAUAUGUAUGUA
Long non-coding RNA from Vombatus ursinus (common wombat), 1829 nucleotides. RefSeq lists it as uncharacterized. The record is from RefSeq and is a predicted model, not a curated record. Lineage: Eukaryota; Metazoa; Chordata; Mammalia; Diprotodontia; Vombatidae. The transcript is spliced from 2 exons.